Molecule: long non-coding RNA, 27408 nt
Filed under: Homo sapiens (human)
Lineage: Eukaryota; Metazoa; Chordata; Mammalia; Primates; Hominidae
Description: non-protein coding lnc-FCN2-1:6
Source: RNAcentral
CUCCUUGCUCAGACCCCUGGGCUGGCAGCAGCAACAUUGCCCUUUAUAAAGCCCCCUACCAGCUAGAAAAGAACCAGCUCACAAUCUGCUUCGCGCUUGAUUUAAAGGCGCUGACAAGCUGCUGCCCGCUCCCCAGCACGGUGGCGAGACUGGAUUGGGACUGUCAUAUAUAAUGCAUGGAGUCAGGGCCGCGAGCCGGGUUGUACGCGUGUGUGAUCCGCUCUGGAGCGCUGUUCCCAGAGCCAUUGUGCAAACAUAUUUACUCUGCAUAAAAGAAUGGGAUGAAGCUGCAAAGGACAUUUGUUCAUCGAAGUGGAUUUAAUUUUUAAACUCGCAUUAGGACAGGAUCAACCUUGCUGAAGGAGGAGCGCUCUCUCAGAGGCAGAGAGAGCCCAGCCAGCCAUGGUCACCAUUAAGUCACCUCCAUCAUACUCUGUGAGUUAGGGGGGCAAGUGAGGAUGUGAUCCACCAAUCCCCAACGAAGAAUCCUAGGGAAGAAUCUGAUUGGCUAGUCACCUGCCAGUCAUCACAGCCGAGGGAAAGGAGGGGUGGAGCAGCGACUCCACCAACUACAAAAGGUGAGGUGCUUAUCAACCUUUAUGAGGGAACAAUGGGUGAAGACAAUGACCAGGGUGCAGGCAGGCUGACCAUCCCAUCGGUUUGCCUGGAACUGUCCUAGUAUUAGCAAUGACAGUCCCAUGUCCCCAGGGCAAACCAGGGUGGUUGGUCACUGAAGUUCAAGUCCCUCUAGACAUUUCCAAACCUAAUUAACAAGUUGGGGAAGCGAGCUGUAACCCGUUUCUCUAGCUCUUUAUUUGUGUGAUUUGGCCAGAAAUUGCUUCAAGAGGAGACGUUCAAAAAGGAACAAAAAAUCAGAACUGAAACAAUGUCGGAGGGCACUUUGGGGUUUCUUCAGCAAAAUGCAAAUCCCUCCAUUAUCUUGUGGUUUAAACCAAAGCUGCCUUUUGGAAACUCCCGCUGAUUCUCCAGCCUCAUGGAGGGUGGCAGGUUCCUCUUUUAAGUGUUCCAGGCUAGGAGUUGCGUGGUUAACGCUGGGGUAAUACACACUCUGUAUUUGCUACCACAGCCCCCCACCCCUAGAAGUCUCCCAAGAGGAAAUCGGUGGUGUGGUCAUGCACAGCUCCUGUGCUCCUGAUGGAGACUGUUGUGGAUCCAGGGCCAUCUAGACAUCUAGGUAUUUUCAGCUUUCUUCCCUUAGGACAAGAGGACCAAGGCCUGAGCAGCCCUGAAUCGCUCCCAUGAUGGCCCAAACAGGCACGGAGGAGGGUGAUUGGUCCCUGAGAAUGUGGAUGCCUGGAGCAGUUCACGGUACUGUCUCUGCCUCGUUCUGAGCCUGCACUGGGGCCUUGGGUCCCUGCAGAGCUGGUGGCCCACAGCUGGUAGCACUGUCCAGGUGCAGGUUUCAAUCAUCUUCCAGGUAAAGGACGUGCACGUGGCCUAACAAUAGAAGCCGACCUUCAGUAAGAGCCACCUGGGAUGGGGCAGGUCACCGGACCACCUUUCUUCACCUGUGUCCCAUCUGCGGUGGGGAGGGGGGACUUCAUUCUGCAUUUUACAUUUGAGGUAACUGAGGCAACCUGGAGGAGGUCACAGAGCUAACCAUUAGUGGGAGAGCAUCAGGCACAUGAGGACCUGCAGCUUUGCAGGAGGAAGAUCCUGAUGCCCCCAAGCAUCCUCACAGGCGCUCUCGGCUGGAGGUUCAUCUUUCAAAUCAGCCCUGCCUCCUCCAGUCAGCUCUGUCUGGUUUAGCUCAGCUAACAGGAUGCGUCAGCUUACCUGAAUAAAACACUUUACACCCCCACGUAAGGACCAAUAAGCUUAACCUUUAGGGACAGGUUUGGUUUUUGUUUUGCCUCUUCCUGUCACAGGCUUCAGCUGCCACAUGGAUGAGGAAGUCAGGGAGGUAACUGACCAGACCAGCACACCUUCUCCCUGCCCCUGGCUGGCUAGCUGGGACCUUUCCCCCUCUGCCUCUCCAAACCUGAGGCUGAAAGGGGCCUAUGGGGGUGUUCGGGAAUCUGGGAGGUUGCCAAGCCCCAUCCACCAAGGUGGGCCGGUUCUGUCCCUAAGUUGGAGCUCAGGACUGGCUUCAGCCAAGGCAGUGCCCAGAGCCUUUGAGAGACCCCAGGCUGGGGUCGGUGGGGUGGGCCUGGCUCUCUGGGGAAGGCUGCCAUCAGGGAGCGUGGGCUGCCGCACACUCUCCUCCCGGUGUUGACAGUGACGGAUGUGGUCAGGGCAGGACCCAGACAGGGAAGAGCUGAGGUUCCUGGUGGGUCAGUUUGGCUCUUCCCUGCUCUGCUCUGUGGCUGCAAAUACAAACCUGGGGCCCAGCAGGGACAGGCAUCCCCACCUGUCAAAGGCCUACGGACCCAGGGAGGGGGACGCCGUUCCUCACGGCCCUGGUGUCAGAAGCAUGACCGGCCUGCUUUGUCAAGAGGCGGAGGAGGGCGGGAUGCCUGCUGGGCAUGUGGACUCUCAGCUUCCAAGCAGGUCCUGUUGCCCUCCUGCCCUCCAGGUGACAAAGCUGAGGCACUGUUGGGAGUAGCAGUCUGCCCGUCAUCCCUGGCAGUGGGUCAACAUGCAGCCUGGCUCUGGGACCUGGAAUUGGACCUGGGUUAUGCAGCUGGCCUGUGCAGGUGCCAGCCUCGCCUCUCUGGGCCUCCAUCUCCUGAGCCACACAAUGAGGACGAGGCCGGCUCUGCACUGAGAGCAAGGCCGACGGCAGAGGCCAUGUGCCGCAGACCUGGACUCAUCCCCUCACUAUGCAGGCAGGCCCCAGCCCCUAGAAGCUCCUGGAACUUGGAACUCUGGGCAGAAGCCCUCAGAACAGAGCAGCCCAGUUCUGCCUCUUCCAGCUUCCCCAGGAGCCUGCUGCCUCGUCUGCAGUGGCAGGGAAGACCAUGACGCCCCCCACACCCACAUCCAGGCUGCCUUGCAAUCCACACACCUGUCCAUUUCACCUCCAUCCACGUCCCUCUCCCCUGCGGCCACCACGCAGGCCCAGCCACCCCCACCCCUCUGCUGCUGCAGCCUGGAAGGUCGCUGCAUGCUUCUCUAUCCCGGGCAGUCCCGCACCGCUUGGGGAAGCUGGAAGAGUCCAGGUCUGCUGGCACCAGCCGUGAGAUGGAGCAUAAGGGGCAUGUGGCACCCCUGAGCACAGACCCUCCUGGGCUGUCCUGUUACAGAGAGGGGCAGAUCACCCUCCUCACAGCCUCCAGGCCCUCUGGGUCCAGCCGCGUUCCCUGCCCGACUCAUUGUGUGAGUGCCAGGCACGUCCCCCUCCUGGGCACUCACCCUGCCACCCCCAGGCCUCCUAGGGCCAGAGUCUCUGCCCUGGACACGUGUAUUUUCCUACUAACUGCCACUCAUCCUUCUGUCUUGUCUGCCCCGGACAGUCAUGCCUCUGCCAUCUCCCCCUGGCAGGGCACGCUGCACCUUCUGAAUCCCACCGUGGCCCUGGGAAAAUUUCACUUGUCUCUCGGCACACCAAGGCCAGGCAUUCAGGGAUUGCAUCACUUUCCUGAGCUAUGUACCUGCAGCAUCUGGCUCGGGGCUGGGUGUGUCACUGACCCACAACCACUGCUGAAUGAAUGAUGAGUGGAUGAGUGAGUGAUGAGCGGAUGAGUGAGUGAUGAGCGGAUAAGUGAAUGAGCACAGGUGGGUCUCAGGAGGUCCUUCCAGCCCUAGAACUGACUCGGGGGCCUUGGUUAAUGCCAGUGGGUGAUUUUCUGACUCUAAAGGCAGAUGUGGGGAGUGGAGACUCAGCCCUGAAUGCAUGCAGUGACCCAGCACUGAGAGAGGACGGUGGCUCUGGCGGGGUGGCCGCCUGCGAGAUGCUCCCCGGGGCCUGCUGCGGAGAUGAGUAAACAUCAGAGUUUUGUGAUGAGGGCUCUGCCAGGGGAAGCCCACGGUAUCACGGAGAGAAGACAAGGGCAUCCACCACAGGAGGAUGGACAGGGUGGGCAGGUGUGGGCUUCGUCAUCCAUCAUGGCCAGGGCUGGGAGUCCUCAGCGCUUCCAGCUCUGGAGACAGGCCCAGAACCCUGGAAAGAGGAGCUCCCAUCAGCCCACAGGGGGCUGGGCCGGCCAUCCAAGGCAGACAUCCAGGGUCCUUCUAUUUGAACCGAUGGGUAGAUGCUCAGCUGCUCCGGGGGCUGGUCCAGGCUCCAUCCCAGUCCUGGCUGUCCAUGCAGAACAUGGUACCCAGGCCCCAGGACUAGCAGAUAAUCCUUCAAGAGGGUCCAGAAACGGUGUGCCGAGCACAGUUCUCCAUGAGUCAGAGGCCUCUGGACAUGAGCCUAAGGGGCCCACAUUGAAAUAGGACUCUCUAAUCACAGCUGGGCACCAAUCAGGCACCGGCUUCCAUGGCUGAGGCCUGCUGGCUUCUCUCUCUCAGUGAACCGUGCUCCCGUCAGCCUCCGCGCGACAUCCCGCAAGGCUGCAGCCACCUCUCGCUCUGCAUCCAGGAGCAGGAGUGUCCGGGGUGGAGGCUCUGCUGCCCCAUAGGCUGUGGGGCUGUCUGUGCCAGGAGGAAGGACCCCUACCCGCACCUGCUGUGUGCCUGCUCAGGGGUCGAGGCAGCUGCGCAGCUUACAAAGAGGACAGCACCCCCGUCUCAGGCUGCCAGGGCCUUCUGUGAUCUCCUGUCCUUGGGCUCCUCUGCUGGCACCCUCCUGCUCCUCCUGAGCCGUCCUCGUGCCCUUGCCAUCUUUCCUGGAAAGCCUUGCAUCCAUUCAGCACAGCUUCACAGCUUCACCCAGCCCGGGCCUCAUGUGCCCCAGAAACACAGCCUUGAACACAACAGCGGGUUCCCUCUCAGGAGCUUCCCCACCUCCCCCUGGGUCAAGGAGAGGGAGACCAGCAUUGGCGUGCACUGUGUCAGGUGGAGAUCAAUUGGAAGAAAAGCAAAGUGGGGUGGUGGUGGGCAGGGGACCGCAGGGGGUGCUAUCUCAGAGGUUUCUGCAGGGCCGUCUGUGCAGAAGCCCAUUGCUGUCGCUUGUAGCUCAUCGUCCUUGUGGCAGCCCCAUGCCAGUUCUGCAGGCCAAAGAACAAGGUUCAGAGAGGGUGAGCAGCUGGCAAGAGAGCACACAGCAGCUAGUGGCAGGAGCGGAGCCCAGUCUUCCCUCCAACCGAGCCCUUUCCUUCUCCUUAGCUUUGCCCACCGAAGCCCUUCCCAUCUCCUUGCCUAGAGAUGGUUAGGCGUGACGACUGUGUUCAGGAUGACCCUGGCCAGGUGCAAUAAUUACAAGCCUAGGAAAAAUGACAGAAAAUAAACAUUCCAAGAUAUUAGCAAGCUGGCGUGGCUUUCUCUUCUGCUUUACAUUAUUUUUUCCUUACUUUCCAAAUUUUAUGCGGUGAGAAUUUAUUACUUUCAUUACCAGGUGCAAAAAAUAGAAACAAACAAAAAACUCUGUCUGAUCUUUCAGACUAGUUCGAAUGUCUUCUUUUCUAGAACUGGGAUGACCAGGACAUUUGGGCGUGAAAGGGGCCCUACAAGCCUUAACAGAUACUAAAGAACGUCAGACAAGCAGAAUGAGGAUGGCCCCAGGCAAGGUGGACCCCACCCCAGCUGCAGGGAACAGCAAGGCUGCAGGUCAGUGUUGAGUGGCCCUUUACAAAGGACUGUGACCCAGGCUGGGGGCAGUGGCUCACGCUUGUCAUCCCAGCACUUUGGGAGGCUGGAUCGCCUGAGGUCAGGAGUUCGAGACCAGCCUGGCCAACACGGUGAAACCCUGUCUCUACUAAAAAUACAAAAAUUAGCCGGGUGUGGUGGUGCACACUUGUAAUCCCAGCUACUUGGGAGGCUGAGGCAGGAGACUAGCUUGAACCCAGGAGGCGGAGGUUGCAGUGAGCUGAGAUUGCGCCACUGCACUCCAGCCUGGGCAAGAGUGAAACUCUGUCUCAAAUAAUAAAAACAAACAAAGAAACAAAAGCAAACACACACAAAACAAAGGGCCGUGACCCACAUGGACCUGGGACAAGGCUUCGGCUAAGCAAGCCCAAUGUCCAGUGGCUAUGGCCUCAGGAAGGUCAGCAAGGCAAGUUCCCUAUCCCUAAGACCGGGUCUUGAGACAGAAGCAGACAGUAGGCUCAACUCUCUGGAGGGCCCUGGCCAGGGCAACACAGGUCCACGUCCAGGCAAGGUCAUGCUCCCUGCCCCGCUCUGCCCCUUGGAGCAGGCUGUCAGAGGGGCCAAGGACUCCUCUCAGCAGGCUCGGGAGGAAACAGGAUCUCGAGUUCUAUUUUUUAAAUCACAAAAUUAGGGCCAUUUCUGUCUCUCCCUGGUCUGUCCCCUCCGAACCUGGGAGGCCCCUCUCCAGCAGAGGCUGCUUCUGUUCUCUCUCAUUCCAUAAAAACACUCCCGAGCCUUUCUGUUGCUGCAAAGAGAGCUUUGAUUCUUUGCCGAGAAUCUGCACCGCGGGCUCCAAAUGGGAGCGUUUCUCCGGAGAGGAGCAGGAGGAGAAUCAUUUUGUCGACGGCAGGUAAUUAAGUUGCCACGCAGAGAGGGAGCAUGCGUUAUACGAUGAUUAAUCCCAGAGACGGCGAGGACAUUUUUCAUUUUCAAAUCUCUCCUUGGUUGUUAAUGAAUCAUCUCAGCUCCUGGGAGAGAAGUGCUGGUGCUCGCCCUAAGAGCAAGGGAAACUGAGUCGGCUGUGCCCACCGCCCCCGCCACACGGUGCAGAGUGGAAGCAGCCUCGGGAGGGCAAGUGCUGGGAGACCAUGGGCUUUCUCCCCGGGCAUCUCGUCCAUGUGGCUUCCUGUCUCCCCAGCCUCAUCUGGGCAGGAAUUCAGGAAUCAAUAAAAAUGUUAUUUUAAAUAAAAAGAAAGCCACCCUGCUCUGCUUGGCACAGGCUGCCAUUGACCGCCUUCUGCACCUGCUUUUGUUCUGUUUUUCUCAGGUACCUGCUCAUUUCCAGCUCCCAGCCUCCCUCAGAACACAGACUGCCUUGCCAUUUUCUUAGCGAGCGGUUUGCAGCAAAGUGCUAUUUUGCUCUCGAACGCCUUCCUUUCCAAUUGGGACAAACGGCUAUGAAUACGGCACACCCUGUUUUGCAUUCAAACUGUUGGGAAAGUUUUGCGGCUGUAAAUAUCAUGCUCUUGGUGCUCAAGACAGAAUUAUUAUUACUUUUUCCUUAGUUCUUGGAACCAGUGAUAAAUUAAACAUUUCUUUUGCCCCCCCUUGCAGCCGGCAGGCAAUGUGGAGCUGAUUGCUUUGCCUCUGUCCUGACCCAUGUGCCCCAUCGGGAGAGGAACAAGACGACAGUGACUUGCCAGGGGCACAGGCACAUGGAUGGGGAGCAGGUCUAAAUGGGGGAGGGGGCACGUGCAGGGGGGGCUUUCCUGAGAUAGGGCUUCUCUUUGGUGUUUUCCCUGCACAAUCUUCCAAUGAUGUAUAGAGUUUACCCUCAACGCUCAGAGGCUGACAUUUGACAUAGAGGGAAACUGAGGCACAAUGGAGGUCUCCAGAAGAUUCUGUCCCCACACACUGUUCUCUUUCCAUCGUCUGCUCUGGGUCAGAUCCUGGGAAGUGGUGUUUUUCCUCUGGGGCGGGCGCUGGGCGUGUGGAGGUGGGAAAGCCUCACUCCUGGGCUCUGCCAGGUGGAAACGGAGGGCGCUGUGCCUCUUGGACUAAAAGGGUGAGCCUGGCAGGUGCACUGGCCUGACUCGCGUUCCUGCUUCGAGGUCCUGAGCACCUCCUCGGAGUCUCAGUUUCCUCACCUGCAAAUGAUCUUGAAGAUGUUCAAAUGCCUUCUUCCCUCCCGAGGUCCUGAAAAUGGCUGGGGAGGUCCGGGGGGGAGGAUUACGUGAGGCACACGGGAUCCGCCGUGACUCAGGCCACAGGGUCCGCUGGGCACCCCGCCCAGACUGCCCCCCACCAAGAGCUGCCAUGCACAGGUGGGUGGUGGAGGCUCCAGCCCCGCUCAAGCCUGCAGGCACACUUUCUCAUCGACGGACCCCAACACAUCCCUGUGUGUGGGCAGGGCUGGCAGGGGAUUCACGCCCACCUGCCCCGCAGCACCCCGCCGUUCUGCCUCCACCCUGUCUGCCUCGCUCAAGUGCACGAUGGCCAGGUGGAUGGAUGACCCUCCCAACCUCACCUCCCAGGUUUCCCUGAGGGAACGCAGCCCCUACUGGAUCCUACUGGACCUGGGUUCUGAGAUGACCCUUCCACAUGAAGAAAGAGAGUCCAGGGCUGGUGGGGGCAUCGCAGCUUCCUGGGGCCCUGCAGGAGACGGAAGAAGCCAGGGUGCUCAUCACACAGGCCUCCAGCUUUCUCCAGGGGCUGGACCUGGGGACCAGCCUGGGGUAUGGGUUCCUUCCUCUCCCCAUCCCCAGCCUGCCAGCCCCUCCCGGAUGGAGGUGGGAGUAAGAUGCCCCCCCGCUGGAGAGCCUUUUUCUGUAGCUGUGCAGGGGUGGGAGUAGGGGAGACAGGGCUUUGUCUAAUAAGAGGAAUCCAUCAAGUUUGCUAAACCACUUUCCCUCUGGAGCCAUGCGGCUCCUCUCCAGGGAGCUUGGCCUGGCCAGGCCUGCAAGCGGUGCCUCCUCCCAGCCCCACCCUGCCUUUUGUCUUUGUCUCUGACAUCUGCGUUCCUUCUGAGUGUGCUUUGCUUCUUUCUGCUGCUCGAUGGCUAAUAGGAUUGAGCGGGAAGGCGCCAGGAGAGCCGGCAGCCCGGCCUGGGAGGGGCUCUCACUCUUCCUCUGCCAGAAGCCUUAUCGAGCGCAGGGUGUUUGACUUCAGAAACACAUCCCCACGGCUUUCCUUUCCGCCUUCCUUCUGGGACUGAUUUGUUUACUUCUUUCAGAGGUUCGCCGUCCCUCUUUCUGCAGGGGUUUGCUGGAUCACAGGUCCCCAGUGCCCCGGACAUAGUGUGUGAGGAAUGCGGGUAUGAGAGAUACUAACAUAGGCAAAGUCGGCUCAUCUCAUCCAACCUCACCACCCUGUGCAUUGCAACCCCACAGUGCAAUGUAAAGAUGGGGAAACAGGCCCAGAGACUCAAGAGAAAUGAAACGAGUGGAGAUUGAGACUGAACUGGACCGGGAUCCGGGCCCCACAGCUGGGCUUGUCCCGAGGCUGUGUGCUGCCCCCGGAGCUCCUUGGAUGGAGAAGCGCUCCCUGCCCCUCCCUGCUCCAUGCCUGGCUUAGACACACGGCGGCCCUGCUCAUGCCUGAAAUUCCACCCUUAGCCACCCUCCCCUGUUUGGCAUUGCCCUCGCACCCCCUCUCGAGGGACACAGAAACCCCGCGUGUGGGUGUCCUCACUGCAGGUCUCCCUACCUGGCAGGCGGGGAAUGUUUUGGGGCAGGUGGUGGGCAAUGGAGGAGAAACAGUAAGCAGGGAUUUCAGGAAGAAGAAAACGCCAGCAAGGUAAGCAGGUCAACAAAACCUCACCUGUGUCAGCUUGCACACCUUCUGUCACCAGAAAGCCUGACCUUAACCUUGCACUUGUCAGAUCUGAUCCUGGUCCUCAAAGAGCAUGGAGACCCUCUUUAUACAAAUGGGAAUACUGAGGUAUGCAGUUCGAGAGGAUUGACCGAGGCCAUUUGGCUGGUUGAAGAGCGAUGCUGCGUGUCCAGAGCAGCGGGUGUGGGAGGCAGAGCCUGGAGCUCCCAGAGCCGGCGGCCCACGGCCUCGCCUCCAGCCAGGAGGGUGCGGAAUUCUCCCCCACCCAGCAGAGGCUCUGGCCAUCUGUCUCCAAGGAUGCGGGGGAGCGGACCGGCUGUGCCGCUCUAGGGCUGCUCCGCCUGACAGACAGCAGUGUCGACCACCCAUGUUUGCUGCACAGACUCUAGCUUCCACACCCCUCCCCACCCCAGCAGCCUGGGGAAGGAAGGCUGGAGGUCCCUGCAUGACGGGUGAGGAGAGAGGACAGGAGCCCGGUGCUCUGAACACCGCCCCAGCCCAGCUGCACGUCAGGACCCCGCACUGGCCUCUUACAUUGAGAAGCCAAGACCCACCCAAAACCCAGCUAUCAAAGUCUCUGGGGACAGCACCAGCAGGGCAGAGGGCGUUGGUUCCCUUAGAAUGUGCUAGAAGGCUCAUCCCUGCAGGAGGUGCCCCUGCAGGCAUCCUUGCCCCCACACUGCCUGGUGCUGCCCACCUGCUCACUUGCAGGUGACCCUAGUUUCUCAGUGGCUCGGCAGCCUCGCGGGCUGUUGUAACACUGACACCACGUCUGUGAGAUCAUUGGCUUGGAAGAUUCAGCUCAGAAUUGGAUAGAAGGGCCCUGCCCUGCCAGGCACAGCUGCCGGCCCUUGUCACCUGCAGCUGCAUGAGAAACUAAGGCUCAAACCAAAUCCUUCUGGACAGAAAAGCAGGUCCCCCUCCACUACCCCUUCGUCUGGGCUCUCGGUCAGCGGGGUCAGGGUGGCCGGGACAGUCACUCUCAUUUCCAGAGGAGGCGAGAGGCAGAUGAAGGCCAUGGACAGCAAGCCAUGGGGCCACAGCACAGCCUCAGGUCGUUGCUGACACACCUGCGCCUCCCACAGCCCUCCCCAGGAAAGCCGCGGCAGAGCUCACCCCACUCCCAGGGUGCUCACCUGGGACCUCCUCACCUCUGCACCUGCCCUGGGUAUCCUCAGCCGUGACCCUGGCCUGGCAGUGCCGGCGGACAGGUUGCAACCAGCCCAGCUCCCCAGGGGUGAGAGGGGCCCAUCACCGGCCACCCACAGGCAUCCCUGGGUCUGCUUUUUGGAGCAGUGUCCGGGGUUCCCUUCAUAUCCUUUAUAUCUAUGUGAACCUGACCGGCACACUCACUCCAGGCCCAGGUGUUCUGUAAACACUGAACACCAUGCUGUUAACCAAGGUUACGUUAAAAAGUGACUAUGUGGCCAGGAAAUAGAUUUUGUAUAGUUAUGUGCUGUUAGGAUAGAUACGGGUUUUCGUCUGCGGCUCCUGGCUUAUAACUCCCAUAGCACUUGUUCCCAUUUGCGUUAGAAUGUUGGGGGUGUUGAGCCUCAUGGGCAGCCUCUGCCUUCUCCUGCCCUCCUUUCACCUGCCCCAAGGCGGCACCCUAACUUUCUCCUGCCUUUCGGAUUGUGGGUCUUAAGACCCUCCCAUGAGAGGGUCCCAUCCUAUGCCAUGGGGGAAGGAAUGCUGACAUCAUGAAGCUUCCAUAAAAUCCCAAGAGGACUCGGUUCAGUGCGGUUCCUGGAGUGUGGCGCGCCCAGCAAGGAUGUGGGAGCUCUGCGUCCCUUCCUCCCACUUCGGUCUACGCAUCUCUUCAUCUGCAAUAUUCUUUUUCAUUAAUCUAUAAAUGUGUUUGCCUGAGCUCUGCGAGCUGCUCCAGCAAAUUAAUAGAAUUGGAAAGAGGGGGUCAUGGGAAUGCCAACCUGAAGGCGGCCAGUCAGAAGUUCCAGGGGCCCAGACUUGCGGCUGGUGUGUGUAGGGGCAGCCUUGGCGGGGGAGCAUCACAGAAGUCUUCUCCUGUGUUGAUGAUUAUUGAGGUGUGAGAGUAGAGGAGAAACACAGUUCAGGUGAGAGGCUUCCCUGCACAAGUUACCAACCAUAUGACCUGGCACAACUUUCCCAACCUGUGCCCCUUCCUCGCCUACUGGGGGGUAAUGAGAUCAAUGCCGUAGCCUGAGCAAGAGCCCAGAACGGGGCUGGGUGGGUGGGCAAACCUCGAGAAACGUGAGCUCGUAUGUGAGGCAUAUGACAGGCCGAACAGUGUGCCAUGUCCGUGGUGCCAUGCCCCAGCGUGGCUUUGAGCGCAGUGACUCUCUUAGAUUUCUGAUUGUAAAGGCCCUGUGUGCUGGGUAAAGAGUUUGGAGAAAUGCAGAAAAUUUAAAGAACAUGAAGAACUGCCCAGAAAUAACAACUGUGAACGUUUUGGAGGCCUCUCGUCCUUUCCUGUGUACCUCGUGGCACAGCUACACUGUGCCCUGCCUGGGGUCCCAGAACAUGACAGCAUCCACUGCCACCCUGACUCAUGCCUGUCCUCAGCUGGGCUCCUGCGCCAACCACAACCCCACUCCCCCCUGAAUGACAGCCAGUCUGUCAGGAUAUUCCUCCUCCGCUCAGGGCAGCCCCACUGCCGAGUCCCCAGCAUGCAUUGACUUGGGUACUCCCUACCUUGAGUCAACCAUUAGGCCCAUCACGCUGAUGCAGAGCAGGGAGCCCCAAAGUGGGGCUGGGCCCCCAAGGAUUCUUUACUUCACCCAGGAGAGACUUCAAGGGCAAGCCCCUGGUGGGGUGGGGCUUUAUUGACGAGGCAGUGUUGCAGCUCCGUGACUGUCCCUACAGAGCAGGACUACCCCACAGGCAGUGCGCUGAGAGGAGCAGCUCAGAGCAGUUGUGCAGUCACAUCUAUAUCUACUUUUAAUUACAAGCAGAUUAAGGGGUGGUUUAUGCAGAAAUUUCUAGAUCCUGGGGUUAUUGCCAUGGAAAGAGGAGGUAACGCCCAGGUGUUGCCAUGGCAGCGGUCAACUCACACUGGUGGGCGUGUCUUAUGGAAAGGUGCUUCCACCCCAUCCCUGUUAUAGCUGGUCCUCAAUUUGGUCCAGCAUCUGAGCCCCGCCUCUGGAGUAGAGUGCCACCUCUCCACUGCAAUGUGGGUGGGGACAGAUCCCCUGGGGCACCUAGCUGAAAGUCACAUCCUGCCGGAAGAGCUAAGACCACACCUGUCUGUCUGAUUUCUGAAGCUGGGCUCUCAUCCCUUGGAUCUCUGGCUCCCUUCUUGUCCUAGAGGCGAAGGGGAAGAGCUAAAUAUUUCGUGACCUUUAGGCCAUACUUGUAGAGGGGUGUGCAGGCGGGAGGAACUGAGGCCAGGUUCCGACUCUGGCUGGAGGCCUACCCAGGCCCCUGAGGUUUCUCCAGGGUCAACCCCAUGGCCCACUGGCAGCUGAGUCACACAGAGUGAUUGCUGGUCAUGCCCUUGAUUGAGAACGAUGCACUCAGAGCGUCCUCCGCUCAUAAAUAGCAGGAAGCAAAGUACAUUACGAGAGCAUAUGGUACCUCUAGGCCAUUUCUGCCUCUGGCCCCGUCACUGCCACAGUGGCUGAAACUCAUCUUCUGUUCUGACAGGUUUCCCUAGAAACCCAUCAAUUUAUAGUGUCUAUAGCUGGCCUUUUGGAGGCCCCAGACCAAACUGUGUUAGAAAACAACAGCAACAACAAAACUCCUAUUUCUCCAAAUGGCCCUGGAAGAUGCACCGGCUGUGCCCUCAAGACGCUGUGUGUGGGGCAUCCGCCUCCCUGGGCGCGUGGAGCUGGCUGAUGGCCAGGGUGUAAGGGUGCAUACUGGGCAAGGACGGGCUGAGGCAGUUGGCAAGGUCUGCAUCACCUCCACCCAUCCGUGGUCCCUGGUCAUGAAGGAUACGCCCAUCCAUCCACCUUUCUGAAACUGUUGUCAACGCACUCUGAAUUCAGGAAUGCUCUCCUCUCUCUUCCUUCUCCCCUUGGCAGACUCAGGGCGGAAAUGGUAGCUGACGUUUUCCCCAAGAGCGAGGACAAGGAAUGACCAAAAGAUCAUCAUCCCAGGGGCUUUGGGAAUGUGGGCCCUGCUGCAUUUCCUUCAGCAGAAGGGUUUCUUUCCUUCAGUUUCCAUCAGCUUUCAGGGAGGACAAAGGUCCCUUUUGCUAACUGAUCUCUGUCUCACCCUCUGCAAACCCAUCCUAUAGGCUGCAGUCAUGGCCCCACUUGGGAGUCCGCCUCCUUUCUCUCACUCCUGACUUCCCAAAACUCUGGCUGGUUGUGUGCUCCAGGGAACUUUCUAGGGUGAUGGCAAUAUGCCAUAAUUUGGAGUUUUAGGGUGGUAGUUACGUGGGUGCCUACAAUUGUUAAAAUUUACUAAAUUAAGAUCUGUGCAUCAUAUUGUGUUAAAUUGUAUCUCAAACAGAAAAGGACGAGAGUGCACCUUGUGGAGGGCAAAUCUGUGCCGCACCCCCCAGCCCCGCCGGUGCUCUGGGGUUGGCCUCAGCUCAUGCCCUGCAAGUCCUCGCCUGCAGACGCAGCUUGCUUUGCUCAGCACGCUCAUGCGUGUAUGCCACGGGUCAGUUGAGAUCUGGACCAUGGGUAGGUACAGAAUCUUUCUUGGUUAUUGUGAUGGUUUUAACAGCUUUGUUGAGCUGUAAUCUGCCUACUAUCGAAUUUCCCCAUUUAAAAUACACAACUCAAUGCUUUUUAGUAACUGUCUCCACGAGCUGUGCAACCAUCAGCACAGUCUAAUGUGAGAACAUUUUCAUUGUCCCUUCCCAAAGAAGGCCUGUAUUAAUUAGCAGUCAUUCCCCGAUCCCUCACCUCCUCUAGGUCUUACCUGACCCCAGGCCAGCACCAAUCUCCUGUCUGUCUCUAUGAAUUUGCUGAUUCUGGACAUUUUGUAUAAAUGGAAUCAGACAACGGAUGCUCUUAGUGACUGGCUUCUCCACUUGGCAGAAUGUGUUCAAGCCUCUUCCAUGUUGCAGCACACAAUUGUACUUCAUCCUUUUUUGUUGCUGCAUAAUACUCCAUGGUUGCUGAAUACUAUUCCAUGGUAUUACUUGUCAGUUGGUAGACAUUUGGGUUGUUUCUACUUUUUGGCUGUUAAGAUCUAAUGCUGCUAUGAAAUUCAUGUACAAGUUUUUAUGUGAACAUGUUUCCAGUUUUUGUGAGCAUAUACCUAGGGGUGCAAUUGCUGGGUCAUAUGGUAACUGAAUAAUUAAUCUUUUGAUGAACUGCCAGGCUGUUUUCAAAUCAACUGCAUGAUUUUACAUCCCACCAGCAGCAUAUGAAAGUUCCAAUUUCUCUACAUCCUUGCCAACACUUGUUAUUAUCUGUCUUCAUGACUACAGCCAUGCUAAUGGAUGUGAAGUGGUAUCUUACUGUGAUUUUGAUUUGCAUUUCCCUGAUGGCUAAUGCAGCUGAGCAUCUUUUCAUGUGCUUAUUGGCCAGUUGUGUAUCUUCUUUGGAGAAAUGUCUAUUCAAGUCUUUUGCCCCUUUUUAAAAAAUUGAGUUCUCUGUCUUUUAAUUAUUGCAUAGUGAGUUCCUUAUUAUUAUUAUUAUUAUUAUUAUUAUUCUUUUAUUUUAUUUUUAUGAGAUGGAGUCUCACUCUGUCACCAGGCUGGAGUGCAAUGGCUUGAUCUUGGCUCACUGCAACCUCCACCUCCCAGGUUCAAGCAAUUCUCCUGCCUCAGCCUCCCAAAUAGCUGGGACUGCAGGUGCACACCACCAUGCCCAGCUAAUUUUUGUAUUUUUAGUAGAGACAGGGUUUCACCAUGUUGGCCAGAAUGGUCUCAAUCUUGUCAAGAUCAGGAUCAGGUGAUCCUCCUGCCUCGGCCUCCCAAAGUGCUGGGAUUACAGGCAUGAGCCACUGUGCCCAGCUGUGAGUUCUUUAUUCUAGAUACAAGUCACUUAUCAGAUGGAUGAUAUAUAACGAUUUUCUCCCAUUUUGUCAGUUGUCUUUUUAAUUUAUUGUGUCUUGAAGCACAAAAGCUUUUAAUUUUAAUGAAGUCUAAUUCAUCUGUCUUUUCUUUUGUUCCUUGAGCUUUUGAUUUCAUAUCUAAGAAGCUGUUGAGUAACACAAGGUCACAAAGAUUUAUGCCUGUUUUUUUCUAAGAGCUUUUAUAGUUUUAGCUCUUACAUUUAAAUCUUUGAUCCAUGUUUUUUUUUUUUUUUUUUUUUUUUUUUUUUUUUUUUUGAGACAGAGUCUUACUCUGUCACCCAGGCUGGAGUGCAGUGGCAUGAUCUUGGUUCACUGCAACCUUCACCUCCCUGGUUCAAAAGAUUCUCCUGCCUCAGACUCCCAAGUAGCUGGGACUACAGGCACAUGCCACCAUGCCCAGAUAAGUUUUGAAUUUUUACUAGAGACAGAGUUUCGGCAUGUUGGCCAGGCUGAUCUUGAACUCCUGACCUUAGGUGAUCUGCCCCCCUUGGCCUCCCAAAGUGCUGGGAUUAUAGGCAUGAGCCACUGUGCCUGGCCUAAUCUUUGAUUCAUUUGAAUUAGUUUUUUAUAUGUGGAUAAUUUUUGAAUAUGCAUAUGGAUAUUCUGUUAUUCCAACGCCAUUUGUUGAAAAGGCUAUUUUUCCCUAUUGAAUGGUCUUGGCACCCUUAUCAAAAAUCAAUAGGCCAUAGAUGUGAGGGUUUAUUGGUUUAUUUCUGGACUCUCAGUUCUAUUCCAUUGAUCCAUAUGUCUAUUCUUAUGCCAAUAAACACUAUCUUUAUUGUUGCCUUAUAGUGGGUUUUGAAAUCAGGAAGUCUGAGUCCUUCAACUUUGUUCUAUUCAAGAAUAUUUUGGCUGCUCUGGAUCUCUUGAGUUUCUGUACUAAUUUUAUGAUCAGCUUCUUUAUUUCUACCAAAAAAGUCAGGCAGAAUUUCGAUAGGGAUUACACCAAAUCUGUAGGUAAAUGUGGGGGCGUACCACCAUCUUAACAACAGCAAGUCAUGCCCUUCAAGAAUGUGGGAUAUCUUUGUGUUUAUCUAGGUCUUUAAACAUUUCUGUUAACAACCUUUUGUAGCUUUCAGUGUGCAAGCCUUGGGCUUCUUUUGUUAAAUUUAUCCCUAGGUAUAUAUGCAAUUAUAAGUGGAAAUUUCUUUAAAUUUCAUUUUUGGCUUUUUCAUCACAAGUGUGUAGAAAUAAAAUUGAUUUUUGUAUAUUAAUCUUAUAUCCUGCCACAUUGCCGAACUUGUUUAUUUGUUCUAAGAGUAUUUUUCAUGGAUUUCUUAGGAAGAUCAUUUCAUUUGCAAAUUGAGAUUGUUUUUCCUUUCCUAUGUGGAUAUCUUUUCUUUUUCCUGACUAGGUUUUGCUAGAACCCUAUUGUUGAAUAGAAGUGGGGAGAAGGGACAUCCUCGUCAUGUUUCUGAUCAGAGGUAGAAAGCUUUUUCAGUCCUUCUGAAUUAAGUAUGAAGUUAGCUGUGGGCAUCACGAGCACUCUGAGUAUUUUUAGACGGUGCCAAAGCAAAGCCCUCCUCCGUUCUCAGCAGACCCGUGAACAGCCAUGAACCCCAGUGUCCUUUGCUUUCUCUUGUUCCUUCAUGCUCGCCUUCCACCCUCCUCUGUGCUGACCCCUCCAGGCUGCAAAUAAAACCCACCAGCUGCUUCCUAUGCUACUGUCAAUGCAUCAGCUAAAGUUGGAAUCUCAGCACCAAACCCGAGCCCUUUGUGCCUAAGGCCCCGUGGCACAAUAACCUCCAACACAGUCGUUAGGGUGAGACCUUAGGAGUGAACAACCCCUAUGCAAAUGCCCAAAAAUGUAUUCAGAUGUCACCUAUGUUUGUACCUGUAGCUGUCACAAAUCGUUUAGAAGUGUGCCAUUGGGUGGACGGCUGGAUGGAUGAAGAUAGGGGACGAUUUCUGAUUUAACAACCACCAAGUGUCAGGAGAGAGAAACACAGUCUGCGAGUAGCACUGACUCUGGCAGAGAUUUUAUAACAAUUCAUGCAAAGAUUAUUUAUUCAAUAAAUAUUUAUUGAGCUCCUAUUAUGCACUUGGCACUGGGGAAAAACAAUGAAGAAGACAUAGAAAUCCUGUCCUCUGGCACCUAAGCCUGGUGGGUUCAGGGAGAUGCAUUUGGUUGCCCUGCCAGGGCCUGGGCUUGAGGAGGCCAAGCCAUCUCUCCUAGUCAUCUGAGCCAGAACUUGGCAAACUUCUCCCCAGCUGAGUGAGUGUGUCCAGAAGACUUGCAUUACCAGGGACCCCACCAUGCAGCCAUGGCUUAGAGUGCCCUGGAGUCUGAGUUCAGGUCCCGCAGUUCAGAGCAGAGGGAAGGCAGCUGGCAGAGUAAGGAAGUAAGGAGAAUCCAUGCUCACCCUUGUCUCCCACUAUGUGACCUUGGGCCUGGGGCUGGCAUGGCAGGUGCUACAGCCAGACAAUAGAGGCUCCAAACCCAAGUUUCUGUCACUGUGGGAGCUACCAUGUCAGAGGAAGGUGAUGAUUAAUGCACAAAUAUGUAUUUUCUCCAUCAGUCUGGUCUUUAACCAGUCUCUAGAUUCAUAAUACCCUAUCCAGGACAGGGUUUUCAGAUGGAGCAUCAAUAAUGCAGGUGCACACACAAAUUAUGAAUGAGUUUGAUCCUGGAGCAGUGAUAAGUGAGACUUUCUUGGAAGGCAGGGCUCAGCUGACAGCUGUGGGCCCUGCAGUGACUCCUAUCUACACUCUGGAGGGCUCCGGAAACCUCUAGCUCUGCGCCCCCUCCUCUGAUGCAGUCCACAUUGCAGAAUGGCAGGCUCUCCUGUCCCUCUGGCUCAGCUUGUCCCAGCUUGGCCAGUCAGCCAGGGGCUACCGGGUGCUUCUGUGCCAUGGUAGCAUCUCUCCUCCCCUUGGCCUUUGCUGUGGAAGGAGCUACCUGGAGGAGAUUGUGGCCUGGGCCAGGGACAUCUGUGCCAUCACCCUGGCAGGAGGUGAGGAGGCAGUAAAAGGGCAGCCCAGACUGGCAAGAGAGGGGCUGCCCACUUCGGGGGCAUCACACCUACAGGAGGCAUGUCCUCCAGCACGUGGUCUUCACGCUGCCCCCCGACUUGGACCUCCUUUUAAACUGUACCACACUGGGAAGUCCUUCACCACGGUGGGGCUCACCCUCACCACUGGUCCAUGGCAAGGUGGAAUAAUACUUCCUGAGCUCCUUUUCCCCUCCAACAACUUCAGAGAAUGAACAAGAAAGAGUCUAGAAGAUGCAGCUGGAGGUGCCAUUUUUCCUGGCAUGGUGUUAAAAAUUUUAAAUGGGGCUGCAGUAGCCUUUCCAUCUGUGUGUGUCUCUAGCUGUGUGUUUAUCUGUUCACGUGUGUUGUGUGUAUGUGUGUGUCUCUGUGCACGUGUGUCUCUGGGUUUCUAGGUAUGUAUGUCCAUGUGUAUUCACGUGUGUGCAUGUGUUUCUGUGUAUUUGUGUGCAUAUGUAUGUGUCGAUGUGUGUGUGUAUGUGUGUGUCUCUGUGCACGUGUGUCUCUGGGUUUCUAGGUAUGUAUGUCCAUGUGUAUUCAUGUGUGUGCAUGUGUUUCUGUGUAUUUGUGUGCAUAUGUAUGUGUCGAUGUGUGUGUGUAUGUGUGUGUCUAUGUCCCUGUGUGUGUCUGUGUCUAUUUCUGUGUAUGUGUCUGUGUGUGUAUCUGUGUCUGCAUCUCUUUGUGUGUGUGUAUCUCUCUGUAUGUGUCUGUGUAUAUCUGUGUGUGUAUCUCUGUGUGUAUUUCGGUGUCCGUGUGCAUGUGUGUCUGUGUGUGUUUCUGUGUGUGUCUGCAUGUGUAUCUCUGUUUGUAUGUGUAUUUCUGCGUGUCUGUGUGUAUCUCUGUGUGUAUUUGUGUGUAUUUCUGUGUGUCUGUGUGCAUGUGUGUCUGUGUGUCUUUCUGUGUGUGUCUGUGUCAUGUUUGUGUGCAUUUGUGUCUGUGUGUAUUUCUGUGUGUGUUUGUGUCUGUGUGAAUGUGUGUCUGUGUGCAUUUGUGUCUGUGUGCAUUUGUGUCUGUGUGUAUUUCUGUGUGUCUGUGUGCAUUUAUGUCUGCGUGUAUUACUGUGUGUGUCUGUGUCUAUGUCAUGUUUGUGUGCAUUUGUGUCUGUAUUUCUCUGUGUGUUUGUGUCUGUGUCAUGUGUGUCUGUGUGCAUUUGUGUCUGUGUGUAUUUCUGUGUGUGUCUGUGUGUGUUUGUGCAUGUGCACACAUGGGUGCUCCAGCCACCGAGCCCAGCCCUCGGGGCACAGAACCCUCUGGGCACAGGGGCUUGGUCUCUGCUUCCGAAACGGCACCGCCAAUGUCUGUGAGUUUCGUGGGUGUCCCUGUGUGAUCCCCUCACUGGAAAGUCUGGCUGGCUACAGACAUUGCUGCUAUUCUCCUGGCAACUGCUGCAAACCACAAAGAGCUUCUUUCUUAUCCUUUGGGAGCAGGGGAACAAGGCUUCACUAUAAGGGGAUUAGGUUUGUAUUAGGCUUUGAUCAGAGAGGCAGAACCACCAGGAAAUGUGGCUGAGGGAUUUAUUGUAGGAUUUGCCCAUGUUUGAUAAGUCAAAGAAGGCUCUUGCUUCUGUGCCUGGUGUGGCAGCCUAGGGUCAGAAGAGCAGGUGGUGGGGCAGGAGAGCUGCAUGUCAGGUUGGGCAGCAGGAGCGCCCUGGAAACUGCCGGGUCGGAUGUCCUCUGCAAGGCAGUCUCCCUGUUGCUGUCCCCAGCUUUAAUUCUGGGAUCCCACAGGAGAAGAUGGGGCCCUUCAUCAGGUGCUAAAUGUCACACCUGUCCUGGGAGUUAAAGAACUCAUGGAAGACUAUGGCAGGAACAGGGCUGCUGUGGGUCCCCUGCUGCACACUGGCAAGGUGCCUGCCCACAGGUGACAGCAUGCAGGGCUGCAACAGCUCCAACCUUCUGGGCACAAAAAGAACAUGGCCACUGCUUCCCGCCUUCCCAAUUCUGCACCAUGCCUCUUGGGGCCAAACUGACCAGGGGCUAUGUAGGAAAGGGCAUUCUGGGCAGUACAGUUCUGCUUGGGUGGGCUGAUGCAAUAGAAACCCACCACGGUCUGCCCCUUGUCAACCUGGCACCAUAUAUGACUCACUUAGACACACUUAAUGCCUGAAUAAAGACAACAGCAAAAUCCUUGCUUAUGCCUAGCAUGAAGCAUGAUCCUCUGAACAACUGAAAACACACUCUGCCCAGAAGAGGAUACAAAACCCCUUCCUCCACCCCUGGGUGACAUCUCUUCCUCCUACAGCUAAGUCUCACACCCUUUCUGAUAUCCUGUGGCCUAAACGCCAAGUAUAUUUGUUAUCUAUUGCUCUAUAAAAAAUCACCCCAAAAUCCAGAGGCCUAAAACAAUAAAUGUGCAUGAUCUCACCUCUUCUGUGGACAAGAGUCUGGGCAUCGCUAAACUGGCUGCCUGUGGCUCACAGUUCCUCGCUAGGCCUCAGUGAAGCUUCCAGCCAAGGCAGUGAUCUCAUCUGAAGACUGGACUGGGAUGGUAUCAUCUUCCACGCUUGCGUGCAUGGCUGUUGGUUUGUGUCAGCAGCUUUCUGCCAUGCAGGCCACUCUGUGGGGCUACUCAUGAUGUGGCAGCCUGCUUCUUUCAGAAAAAGAGCUGCAAAAGAGAGAGAAAGCAAGAUACUGCAUGCAAGAUGGAAGUCAUGGUCUUUUUGUGACUUAACCUCUAAUCUUGGAAGUGAUAACCCUUCGCUUUUGUUGUAUUCUGUCCAUUCUUUGGAUUGAGGUACUAUGUCCAGCCCACAUUCCAGGGGAGGGGAUUACACAGGGCCAUAGAUACAGAGAGGAGGGGUCAUGGGCCCAUCUUAGAGGCCGCCCAGCCUGCUGAGAGAGAAGGUCACUACUAUCAAUGCAACGUAUGUUGGAUGCAGAGAAAUGGAAGAGGGAGGAGAAGUGUGGUUCACAUCUACUGACAGAUUCACAGCUAAAUACGGAAUAAGAACUUGUGACUGUUACACCUCAUGUCUCUACCUGGUCAUGCGGCCAUAGCUGUCCCAUAACUACCCUCCCUCGUGACUGUCCAUAGUCCCUGUGCCCUAGCAAGGCCCUCGGAGGGUCGUGCUUCCUUGUUUGGUGGGGUGACCCAAAUCUUCAUUCCCAAAGGAUCUGAACGUCUGAAACCUGCUACCAUUUUGGGUCAUUGUUGACCAUUUCAAUGUGGUUCAUAAUCAUCCUGGAGAGAAGGCAGGUGCCUCGGGGCCCAGGUAGUGGGACUUCAGGAGCCUGUGUGCUGCCCUGGGGCCUCUGGGUAGAGUGUGGCCUGGCCUCAGGUGCCCUGGGGGGUCUUGGAGUUGGGUCAGUAGAGGGUCUGAGUCACAGCCACCCCGUCCUUCUGGCCCAUCCUCCCAAGACCAUCUCUGGAAGGUUUUCCCCUGGUGGGUGUCAGAUGGGACAUCCCUGAGGAAGACCUGGCUCCAGGUGGAGGCGCCCCACGCCACCUUGGUUGUGGCGGCUGCCAGUCCUGGCCACAGCCCCAACCCCUAUGAGGCACCAGCAUCCUCUUUGGUAUCCACAGAGGUGGCAGGAAUCUGUCCAUCCACACCUUCAUCCACUCAUUAAGCAAAUGCGCGCUGGGGCUGACUUCUCAAACUGUGAAAAAGCCACGUGGGGCUCUGCCGUGGUGGGGCUGCCACCCCAGGGGACAGGACAACCCACCCUUGAACACAUACUAUGUGGGUCCAUUUCAAAUUGCAACCAAGGCCCUGGACAAAACAAAGCGAGGUGGCUCCAGAGCAUCACUGCCAGGAGGGGCCUCCUUCGAUGGGGGCAGCAAGGUGCUCUCCAAGGACCCAUGGAUGGGCCUGAAGGAAGAGGUCUCAGGAAUAAGCAAGCCACAGACACACCCUGCAGGCAGGAGGAGGACGGCAUGAAGGCUGCAGGUGCAGGGCUCUGUGCUCAGCUGGAUGGGGCUGAGGGAGGAGACCCAUUCAGAUGCUGGGGCCUGCUGGGUCGAAGGCCAGUCAGCUCCUCUUGCUCUCAGCCAGGCCAACCCUUGAGGGUCUCAGACUUCACUGUUCACCACUCCGCUACACACAGGUAGCCUGUGAAAGUCACUUCUCUAGAUCCCCAGGGACGUACAUCCCGCAACGCUAGCUUGGGCGGGACCUGAGUGCCAGCUGGGUGGCCAGAGGUGGGCGAAUUUAAGGCAGAUGGCAAAGCCAUUCCCACCCCAGGGCCACUGGUCGGCACAGCUGGGCACAGCCCACCACCUGCCAGACCUUUCAGAGGGAAUGCAUCUCCCUCCAAGCCAGGUCCCAGCUGGGAUCUUCCAGCUGAAGAGGUUUCCUUGGGCAGAAGCGAGAAGCGAAUUGGAAGAAAGAGGCCCUGACCCUCCAGGAGGCUCCAUUCUGCCUGUGGCCCUGAAAAAAGAGAGCAGGAAGGAGCAACUCUCACUUCUUCACAGCGACUUUGAGAAGUGGAAGACAGGGGCCGCUCCCCGGCUACAAACAAGAAGCCGAUGGAAACCAACACCGUCCCCUCCAGCCUCAUCUCCUCGCUCUUCAGAGUUUGCAGGGAGAUGCAUCACGAAGGCCCAUGAAGCUGUAAAGAUUAGUAUUCCAACCCGGGCAGCAGGGUUUUAAUUAGUCAUUAGGCCCUUUCUGCAGAGCCAUGCUGAACAGGCAAGGGCAGGGUGACCUUUCUCCGCCCAGCACUGUGGCAGCCUGUCUGCUUUGCAGGUGCACUUGGGACUCUGUCAAAACCGCUAAGAGGAGAGGACUGAGGCUGGGCCGGGAAGGAGGCCCUAGCCUCUCUGUUCCUGGGCAUGGCCCCCACCACGGGGGCACUGCAGACCUUUGCUCCCAUCUGGCUCUAGCUCACAGCUUGCACCCCUCAUCCACAAGGGACACAGACAGUUGCUCACGUGAUGGCUCUCCUAGCGAGCCCACGGGCAACGCCAGGAACAAGCCACCCAGGAGUUGAAGCACUUCCCUGGUGUGUGUGAUGGGAGAGGGGAGGGAGCCGGCUUCCUGCAGCCAGUCCCCGCCGGAUUCCAGGAAGGCGAGCGAACCCCUGCGGAAGGUCGGUUCUCAGCCAGGCAUCUGGGACCCCCCUGCCAAGUUGCCCCUUCUUGGCCAAAUGUCACCACAUACCAUAAAAUCACAGAGAACCUUCCAGCUUGCCUGCCUUAGAAGCCAACCCUCCCAACCUCCUGGUUUCUCGAGGACAGUGAGGCCAAGAGCAGCUGCAACCAGGGGCGUGCAGAGGCCGGUGGCUGAGCUGGGGCCAGGACCCUGGACUAUGGCUGUCUAUUUACAACCCAAAAUAAAACGCUAAUUGCCACCAGCACCUGCUGACAAAGAUUUCAAAUCAGUGUCCUCACGAGGACUUCUCCUGGGGCUUCCUGCCAAGCUCAUGAUGUGCUUCUAUCCAGUGGGUCAGCAGGCCCCGGUGUCUGAGGGCACAGCAUUUCUUUCUGCCACUGCUCCGGAUUAUCUGCCCCAGUCUGGCCCCUCGGCUCCUGCCUCACCCACAGUGCCCCCAGGCCUCCCUCCCGUGGGCUGUUCGGCUCCUGUCUCCCACCUUCUCUCCACCUUGGCAGCCGUCCAUGGCCACAGGCUUGCACCCGGGUCUUGCACUGAACGUCAACUCAGGUGCGAGGCUUUCCUUCCCAGCUUCACUGCAAACACUGCAGGCAGGCCUUGGGGUCAUCUGGCUCAGCACACCACAGGGACCCCACUAGCUCUUAUCCGCUGUAUGGGGGUCCCAUAGCCAUGGGCUGGGCACUUCAUAGGAAAUGGACGUCUGUGACCUCCAAGGGGUUACAGACACACCCUCCGAGGGGAGGUGACAGAAUGGCUGGAAGUCGCCACCACGAUCACAGCCCGGAGCCACUGUGGGGACCUUGGUGCGUGUGCCCCGUUCGUGUUGUCACCAGUGCAGGUGCCCUGCACCUCCGCCUCUCAGGAGCAGCCACCCAGCUACAGUCUGAGCAAUUGCACAUCUGGCUCACUGCAGUUCCUUGUAUGACAGCAAGGACAAUGUAACAGGUUUCAUGCCUUCUUGUCUGUGCUGUUAGUUCCUGAUGCCAAGCCCUUCCCAGGAGGCUGAGGAUCAGGCGGACUCUCAGGCCAGCAGCAGCAAGGUAGGAAGUCCUCCUGCCCCAGAUGCCUCCAGCCUGCAGACUUCAUAAUAAAUGGGAGGUUGGCUUUCCCAGCCAAAGCCAUAAACUUUAAUUGGGCUUUUUAAAGACCACAAAAGCAAAUAUAUGCCCUUAAAGAAACCCUUUGGUAACUUGCUCAGAACAUAAAGGUGACUAUUAGCAUGUGCUGAUUUGAAAUACCAAGAAGAAAAUAUCUCCCACAUCAACAUAUGCUAGUGUAAGGCAUGUCCUGUUUUGCAUAGCUCUCACGGUUCCCCACCCUAACACUAGGGCCCGCCUGUCCUAGAGGGCAGCAUGCUUGAAAUCAGAAGACUGCAUUUGGCCUGGCUCCACAUGCCCCUUAACAUUGUUCUUUUUUGUUUUCUUUGAGACAGGGCCUGUCGCCCAGGCUGGAGUGCAGUGGUGUAAUCUUGGCUCACCACAACCUCCACCUCUCAGCAACCUCCGCCCCCCAGCAACCUCCACCUCCCGGCAAACUCCACCUCCUGGGUUCAAGCCAUUCUUGUGUCUCAGCCUCCCGAGUAGCUGGGAUUAUAGGCAUACGCCACCACACCCGGCUAGUUUUUGCAUUUUUAGUAGAGAGAGAGUUUUGCCAUGUUGGCCAGGCUGUUCUCGAACCCCUGACCUCAAGUGAGCCACCCACCUCGGCCUCCCUAAGUGCUGGGAUUACAGCCAUGAGUCACCGCGCCCGGCCGCUCCUUAACAUUGUUGAGCUCCCCUUUCCUCCUCUGCGUAAUUAGUAAGAUCUCUUCCACCUGCCUCAUGGGCUGACUGAGGGAACAACCCAGACAGGGAUGAUCAUGACGGUGCUGUUGGCUGACUGUGGGGCUCGACACUGUGCUCAUCACUUUAUGCAUCUGAGAUGGAAAUGGUCUCAGCCACAGGCACAGAUGGGGAACCCAAGGCAAAGAGAGGUUAAGUAACUUACCCUUGGUCAUGCAGACAGUGGCUGAGCCCGAAUUCAGCCCCAGUGUCUUUAACUCCAGGUGUGAGGGCAGCGGCUCCAGCACGCGAGGCCCCAGGAGCCAGGCACUGCUCACAGCACCAGGCGUGACCGCAGCGGCUCCAGCACGCGGGGCCCCGGGAGCCAGGCACUGCUCGCAGCGCGGGUCGCUCACGUGUUCUUUGGAGGCAAAUCCAUGCGGCGUUCACACACACGGACCUUGCAGUUGCUUGCGCCUUUUUUUCUCUCCAACUCAUCACAGGGCAUGACUUCUCUCCAAGCUGCCUGAAAUAAAAUGAAUAACUUUUUAUGUGAAGUUCUUCGUGCUGAAGAGAACUUGUUCCAAAUGGGGAAUAAUUGGCCUUCCAGGGCUCCAUACCGGCAAUGAAGUGAAAGAUGCUGACGUUUCAGAGGUGUGGAAAUAAAAGGACUAAAAAUGGGAUUCGGAGCAGCUAAUGAGGGCAGAUCCGCAGGGUUUGAGAGACAAAAUGGGGAUCGCAGGUGGAAGCUGGCACCGCGGCCAGGGGCAGCCCACGCAGCAGCGAGUGGGGCCGAGGUCGUGGGCGGGUGUCCGGACCCUCAUCACAGGAACUUGCUGGAACCCCCAGAGGCCCCGGCCUCUGCUGGCUUUGAGGCCUCAGACCUCCCUAGUCCAGUCACGAGCCACCGAGCCCCCUAUACGAGUCUGCUCAGCGGCUGUAUGAAGCAUGUUAUGUUUGACGAAGGAUUAAACACCAGAAAUGUAUUGUCCCCGGUUCUGGAGGCUGGAAGUCUGAGAUCAAGGGGCUGGCAGGGCUGGUUCCUUCUGAGACCCCUCUCCCUGGCCUGUGGGUGCCAUCUUCUCUCUCUGUGGGUGUCCAUGUCUUUACCACCCCUUCUCCUAAGGACACCAGUCCUAUUGGAUUAAGGUCCACCCUAAUGGCCCCAUUUUAACUUAGUUACCUCUCUGAAAAUCCUACCUCCAAAUACGAUCACAGACUCCAAGCUGCUGGGGUGAGGACUUCAACAUGUGAAUUUGGGGCGAGGGGCAGCUUGGUUCAGCUCCUAACAUGCAUGUCAGCCACGCUCUCACUCACUCAUCCUUGUUUUGAUUCGUUUACAUGGUGCAUGUCUCCGGUGCCUACUGUGUGCUAAGCUGGGCCAAGACAGAAGCUGCCUGCCAGGAGCCCAGUGCCCAGUGGAGGAGGAGGGAUGGAGCAACAGGGCAGUAGGACGGGGUGUGGCUGUGCCCCAGAUGGGGAGGAGUUAGCCCUGGCCCCAUGUGCAGUGCAGCCUCCGGGUGCCCACCGCUCUGGGACUACAGAGUAGCUCCUUGGACAGUCAUGUCUUCAGAACUGAGAGCUGAGAUGACCCAGUUGGCCCAUAUUAGGCAGUUUCCAGUCCAGGAAAGGAGGGGGUGGCAUCAAGACCUGAGCUCUGGGGAGCACAUUUUGGGGUCCACAUUCUUGCUUUGCUUGUGGAAUGCCUGCAGGAGCUGGAGGCCACGCCACAGAGCCCUUGGGAGGAGAAACGGCCACGUGUGGAGGGCAGUCUGAUGGCAGGUAUCCACGCUGAAGAUACAUGUGUCCUUUGAACCAGCCCCCAGUUCCCUGGGAGAAUGUCUCAGAUCCCUAGGCAAAGGCACAAAGAUCUGGUGUGUUUACUGCUGUAAGAGACAGCCCCAAACCUCGGCAGUUUCUCCCAACAUAGAAACCCACAGAGCGAUGCUGUGAUCCAGGUCCUGCCUGCUCCAUGGUACCACCCUUCUCUGGUUCAGCAGACAGAGAGGGAGAGAGCGUGAGGACCACACAUGAGGGGUUUUAUGGCUGACCAGAAGCAGAACACAGCACUUCCUCUCACCUCCCAUUGACCAGACUCCAGUACACACAGGACCGCCUGAGAAACAUGUGCACCGGGGGAAGAGAGCGUGGUUGGAACACCAGCCAUCUCUCAUGCAAUAUUUAUCUAAAUUCUAAAAUAAUUGAGCAUUGAAUCCAACUGGAACUCCCU